CAGAGGGGGCAAGCGUUGUUCGGAAUUACUGGGCGUAAAGGGCGCGUAGGCGGCCUGUUAAGUCGAACGUGAAAUCCCCGGGCUCAACCCGGGAACUGCGUCCGAUACUGGCAGGCUUGAAUCCGGGAGAGGGAUGUGGAAUUCCAGGUGUAGCGGUGAAAUGCGUAGAUAUCUGGAGGAACACCGGUGGCGAAGGCGGCAUCCUGGACCGGUAUUGACGCUGAGGCGCGAAAGCCAGGGGAGCAAACGGGAUUAGAUACCCCGGUAGUCCUGGCCCUAAACGAUGAAUGCUUGGUGUGGCGGGUAUCGAUCCCUGCCGUGCCGAAGCUAACGCAUUAAGCAUUCCGCCUGGGGAGUACGGUCGCAAGGCUG
Molecule: ribosomal RNA, 372 nt
Filed under: uncultured organism
Description: bacterial SSU rRNA
Rfam family: Bacterial small subunit ribosomal RNA
Source: RNAcentral